UACGAAGGAUGCAAGCGUUAUCCGGAUUCAUUGGGUUUAAAGGGAGCGUAGGCGGCCUUGUAAGUCAGUGGUGAAAUCUUCCCGCUUAACGGGAAAACUGCCAUUGAUACUGCUUGGCUAGAGUACAGAUGCUGUGGGCGGAAUAUGACAUGUAGUGGUGAAAUACAUAGAGAUGUCAUAGAACACCGAUUGCGAAGGCAGCUCACAAAACUGUAACUGACGCUGAGGCUCGAAAGUGUGGGGAUCAAACAGG
This 253-nucleotide ribosomal RNA is filed under the name uncultured bacterium. Its description in RNAcentral is "partial 16S ribosomal RNA". It matches the Rfam family "Bacterial small subunit ribosomal RNA", at positions 524 to 776 of the family's 1533-position model. The record is from RNAcentral.